Molecule: ribosomal RNA, 264 nt
Filed under: uncultured bacterium
Lineage: Bacteria
Description: partial 16S ribosomal RNA
Rfam family: Bacterial small subunit ribosomal RNA
Source: RNAcentral
CCUAACACAUGCAAGUCGAACGAGAUCUUCGGAUCUAGUGGCGCACGGGUGCGUAACGCGUGGGAAUCUGCCCUUGGGUUCGGAAUAACAGUGAGAAAUUACUGCUAAUACCGGAUGAUGUCUUCGGACCAAAGAUUUAUCGCCCAGGGAUGAGCCCGCGUAGGAUUAGGUAGUUGGUGGGGUAAUGGCCUACCAAGCCGACGAUCCUUAGCUGGUCUGAGAGGAUGAUCAGCCACACUGGGACUGAGACACGGCCCAGACUCC